GCCACGCCCGCUCAAGAAACUUUAAAUAGUAAUUGGACGGGGACCCGCACAAGCGGUGGAUGAUGUGGUUUAAUUCGAUGCAACGCGAAAAACCUUACCCACCUUUGACAUGUACGGAAGAUCGCAGAGACGCGAUUGUGCUCGAAAGAGAACCGUAACACAGGUGCUGCAUGGCUGUCGUCAGCUCGUGUCGUGAGAUGUUGGGUUAAGUCCCGCAACGAGCGCAACCCUUGCCAUUAGUUGCUACAUUCAGUUGGGCACUCUAAUGGGACUGCCGGUGACAAACCGGAGGAAGGUGGGGAUGACGUCAAGUCCUCAUGGCCCUUAUAGGUGGGGCUACACACGUCAUACAAUGGCUGGUACAAAGGGUUGCCAACCCGCGAGGGGGAGCUAAUCCCAUAAAGCCAGUCGUAGUCCGGAUCGUAGUCUGCAACUCGACUACGUGAAGUCGGAAUCGCUAGUAAUCGUGGAUCAGAAUGUCACGGUGAAUACGUUCCCGGGUCUU
RNAcentral lists this ribosomal RNA (505 nucleotides) under uncultured Simplicispira sp. RNAcentral describes it as "bacterial SSU rRNA". It matches the Rfam family "Bacterial small subunit ribosomal RNA", at positions 903 to 1382 of the family's 1533-position model. The record is from RNAcentral. Lineage: Bacteria; Pseudomonadati; Pseudomonadota; Betaproteobacteria; Burkholderiales; Comamonadaceae.